GAUCUCUAAUGCUGUUGUCCACCAGGGGGUGAACGUUGGUUACUAUGCUGUAGUGUUCAUCUUCACCUUCAUCAUAUGUAUUAUGACACUGCAGCAGGGAAAGCUCAAGGCACCAGCUCCAUGAAGACAAACUCUUUCAUCAUUCUAGGCCUGUUCGUCAAGCUCGACAUCACCUGGGCUUUUGCUUUCUUCAGCUACGGACCUCUGCUCAAAGCCUCCUAUUACAUCUUCAUCAUCCUCAACUCCUUUCAAGGUUUGCAGGUUCAUCUAUUAUUUCACUUCCAGCACUAUCACUAGUGAGGACAGAAGCUUUACAGCCAACGGUAGCACCACAGACACAUCAAACACAGUUGUUACAAAUCCACAUUGACACUGCCUGUGCUCUUCAAGUGGGGACAGAAAGUGUUCCGUGCCAGAGAUUAUGUUGACACAAGAGGGCAGCAUUUUAUUUCAUGUAGUCAAGCAGAGCCUGUGUUGAGUGAGGUGCUGGUAAAAUGCAAUAAAAAGGUUCUCAUUCUCCCUAUCUCUGACUAGCCAGCUAAUUUGGAUUACCUUCAUUGAGAAAAAUGACUAAUGAGAAAAGCAGUGACACAGGAGAUGGAGUAAUCUCCAGGAAAUCAUUUGUGCCAAUGACUCAACAGAAGACCUGUUUUAUUCACUGUGAAACACACAGUAACUAUUUGUGAUUCACUCAGGAUAUAUCACAAAGGUCCUAAAUCAAAGCUUAAGUCAUACACUGGAAUGUUAAAAUAUUCAAAGGUUUAGAAAAAUAUGACCGAUGUAGUUGUCAUACGGACUGAAGAUGGUAAAGCGCAAAGAAAACAAAAAGGUGCAGGGAAGUCUUAUCUCUCACACUCCUUACGGUGGUUGGGGGCCAAGCUAGCCAGCUAGAGCUUUGCGUGCCUACAGAUAAUUACCUUGUGCCUACUGAGAGCAGUAUCCACUGUGCGGGGAGCCUUUACUGGCUAACAAGAAAUGAGCUCAUGGCUACCUAUAGUGAUAAGAGGCCUGAGGGCACGCCACUAUGUUGAAACUAUUCUCUGAAACAGGGCUGUAGUUAACCAGUAUUUAAACCUUUUAAUAAGUAGAGUGUAUCUUGGAGAAAUGCAUUAUGUUAAUGACCAGGAGUCAUUAAACAUUUUGUAUUUUGUGUGUGUGUAAUUGUCUCCUAUAGAUUUAAUGUAUUAAAUAAUAUAUUCAAUAUUAGAUCCAAUCUUAAAACAUUAACCAUGAUAAAUAAGUUUUAGAUAUAUACGUUUGGAUAAAGAUAUACGGACGCCUGCUUUCUUUUCUAUUUGUUUUUGUGUUCUAAUAGCCUUAAAAGGAACACACUCAUCUUUUAUUUAAAUGUUUGUUACGGCUUGUCAAGGUUUGCUUUUAAUACAAUGUGGUAAGGCUUCAUCCUUGAUUCAGCUUCUCAGGACAAC
Molecule: long non-coding RNA, 1427 nt
Organism: Etheostoma cragini (Arkansas darter)
Lineage: Eukaryota; Metazoa; Chordata; Actinopteri; Perciformes; Percidae
Exons: 2
Source: RefSeq, a predicted model, not a curated record